CAGUCGAGGGGCAGCGGGGGUGAUGGCUUGCCAUCACCUGCCGGCGACCGGCGCACGGGUGAGUAACACGUAUGCAACCUGCCCGCCACAGGGGGAUAAGCGGAAGAAAUUCCGUCUAAUACCGCGAGACGCGGCGCCGGGGCAUCCCGGUGCCGCCAAAGGGAUUACCGGUGGCGGAUGGGCAUGCGGCGCAUUAGCUAGUCGGCGGGGUAACGGCCCACCGAGGCGACGAUGCGUAGGGGUUCUGAGAGGAAGGUCCCCCACACUGGUACUGAGACACGGACCAGACUCCUACGGGAGGCAGCAGUGAGGAAUAUUGGUCAAUGGGCGCGAGCCUGAACCAGCCAAGUCGCGUGAGGGAUGACGGUCCUACGGAUUGUAAACCUCUUUUGCCGGGGAGCAAGCGUGCGUUCGUGAACGCGCGUCGAGAGUACCCGGAGAAAAAGCAUCGGCUAACUCCGUGCCAGCAGCCGCGGUAAUACGGAGGAUGCGAGCGUUAUCCGGAUUUAUUGGGUUUAAAGGGUGCGUAGGCGGGAUGCCAAGUCAGCGGUAAAAAUGCGGUGCUCAACGCCGUCGAGCCGUUGAAACUGGCGUUCUUGAGUGGGCGAGAAGUAUGCGGAAUGCGUGGUGUAGCGGUGAAAUGCAUAGAUAUCACGCAGAACUCCGAUUGCGAAGGCAGCAUACCGGCGCCCUACUGACGCUGAGGCACGAAAGCGUGGGUAUCGAACAGGAUUAGAUACCCUGGUAGUCCACGCAGUAAACGAUGAAUGCUAACUGUCCGGCUCGAAUGAGCGCUGGGCGGUACAGCGAAAGCGUUAAG
This 820-nucleotide ribosomal RNA is filed under the name uncultured bacterium. RNAcentral's name for it is "bacterial SSU rRNA". It matches the Rfam family "Bacterial small subunit ribosomal RNA", at positions 59 to 864 of the family's 1533-position model. The record is from RNAcentral.